AAAGUCGUAACAAGGUCUCCGUUGGUGAACCAGCGGAGGGAUCAUUAAAGAGUUGCAAAGCUCCUAAAAACCAUCGUGAACACAUCCGUCAGCGUUGCUUCGGCGGGCGGCCCCAGGGAGGGGCCGUAGCCUUCCCUCUCCGGAGCGGCGGCGCCCGCCGGAGGCACAAGAACUCUCUGUAUUUUCAGUGGUAUCUCUGAGUAAGCAAGUAAAUUAAGUCAAAACUUUCAACAACGGAUCUCUUGGUUCUG
This 251-nucleotide unclassified non-coding RNA is filed under the name Ascomycota sp. RNAcentral's name for it is "partial contains small subunit ribosomal RNA, internal transcribed spacer 1, and 5.8S ribosomal RNA". The stretch from base 1 to 47 matches the Rfam family "Eukaryotic small subunit ribosomal RNA", at positions 1785 to 1831 of the family's 1831-position model. The record is from RNAcentral. Lineage: Eukaryota; Fungi; Ascomycota.